AUUGAACGCUGGCGGCAUGCUUUACACAUGCAAGUCGAACGGUAACAGGCCUUCGGGUGCUGACGAGUGGCGGACGGGUGAGUAAUGCAUCGGAACGUGCCCAGAGGUGGGGGAUAACGCAGCGAAAGCUGUGCUAAUACCGCAUGUGAUCUGAGGAUGAAAGCGGGGGACCAGGCAGCAAUGUUUGGCCUCGCGCCUUUGGAGCGGCCGAUGUCAGAUUAGGUAGUUGGUGGGGUAAAGGCCUACCAAGCCGACGAUCUGUAGCUGGUCUGAGAGGACGACCAGCCACACUGGGCCUGAGACACGGCCCAGACUCCUACGGGAGGCAGCAGUGGGGAAUCUUGGACAAUGGGCGCAAGCCUGAUCCAGCAAUGCCGCGUGCGGGAAGAAGGCCUUCGGGUUGUAAACCGCUUUUGUACGGAACGAAAAGGCUCUGGCUAAUACCUGGGGCUGAUGACGGUACCGUAAGAAUAAGCACCGGCUAACUACGUG
This 492-nucleotide ribosomal RNA is filed under the name uncultured bacterium. RNAcentral describes it as "partial 16S ribosomal RNA". It matches the Rfam family "Bacterial small subunit ribosomal RNA", at positions 30 to 507 of the family's 1533-position model. The record is from RNAcentral.